UACGUAGGGUGCGAGCGUUGUCCGGAAUUAUUGGGCGUAAAGAGCUCGUAGGCGGUUUGUCGCGUCGGCCGUGAAAUCUCCACGCUUAACGUGGAGCGUGCGGUCGAUACGGGCAGACUUGAGUUCGGUAGGGGAGACUGGAAUUCCUGGUGUAGCGGUGAAAUGCGCAGAUAUCAGGAAGAACACCUACGGCGAAGGCAGCUCGCUGGGACGGUACUGACGCUGAGACGCGAAAGCGUGGGGAGCAAACAGG
This 253-nucleotide ribosomal RNA is filed under the name uncultured prokaryote. RNAcentral's name for it is "partial 16S ribosomal RNA". It matches the Rfam family "Bacterial small subunit ribosomal RNA", at positions 524 to 776 of the family's 1533-position model. The record is from RNAcentral.